UACCUGUGCUCCCAAGAUGUUUGCUAAUGGCGUGGAAAGACACGGGUAUUGAUCCAAUAUUGGUGACUCUGACAGCGUGACUGACGACUCUGCCAGGAAUGACAAACCCAAAAUCUAGAAGAUACUCUGGGAGCUGGAACCUGAGGACAGAUUGAAACAGAACCAGAAGAAUAAAACACUGAACACAAGCAAGCAAGGCUGGACCACCGACGUAUUUUGGAGGGAGGCUCCACUUAUUUGCGCUCCCACCAAAUGCAGCAGGAAAACGGGGCGGUUAGAGGCAAAACUGCUCCUAAUAAAGGAGCGUUGUUCCAGAAAAAUAAACGUAGGGGGACAAAAGACUCCAGCAAGCUAUCGGCCACAGCAAGAGCAUUUUCUCUGACCAGCAAUCUAUCAACUUCCAUCUGAAGCAGCUCUUCAUACUAGAAACAAAAGAGGGAAAAGAAGAGGGCAGAGG
Archocentrus centrarchus (flier cichlid) is the source of this 457-nucleotide long non-coding RNA. RefSeq lists it as uncharacterized. The record is from RefSeq and is a predicted model, not a curated record. The transcript is spliced from 3 exons. Lineage: Eukaryota; Metazoa; Chordata; Actinopteri; Cichliformes; Cichlidae.